RNAcentral lists this ribosomal RNA (305 nucleotides) under uncultured bacterium. Its description in RNAcentral is "bacterial SSU rRNA". It matches the Rfam family "Bacterial small subunit ribosomal RNA", at positions 335 to 638 of the family's 1533-position model. The record is from RNAcentral.
UCACCUACGGGAGGCAGCAGUGAGGAAUAUUGGUCAAUGGCCGAGAGGCUGAACCAGCCAAGUCGCGUGAGGGAUGACGGCCCUACGGGUUGUAAACCUCUUUUGUCGGGGAGCAAAGAGAGUCACGUGUGACUCAUUGAGAGUACCCGAAGAAAAAGCAUCGGCUAACUCCGUGCCAGCAGCCGCGGUAAUACGGAGGAUGCGAGCGUUAUCCGGAUUUAUUGGGUUUAAAGGGUGCGCAGGCGGAGGUGCAAGUCAGCGGUCAAAUUGCGGGGCUCAACCUCGUACUGCCGUUGAAACUGCAU